Coffea eugenioides is the source of this 1313-nucleotide long non-coding RNA. RefSeq lists it as uncharacterized. NCBI's taxonomy places the organism in Eukaryota, Viridiplantae, Streptophyta, Magnoliopsida, Gentianales, Rubiaceae. The record is from RefSeq and is a predicted model, not a curated record. The transcript has 4 exons.
AAAAGAAAAAAAAUAAAAUAAAAAAGGAAUUAGGGUUUUUUCCUCUUCAGAUGGAUCCGGGAAAGUUACUUUCCUCCGACGAAGAACUUGGAGUUUGUCAACCAGCGGCGGAGGAUCGAGGAAUCGACGGAGAAGAAGUAGCGGACAAGGACGCCGACCAAGGAAAGUCAUCCUCUUCCAGCGAAAUGUCAUCCCUAAACCGGGAUGGACUUCAGUUUGACGACCUCGACACCAAUUACGAGUCCGGAGAGGAUUACGAGUACGUGCGCGGCGCCGAGUCCGACGAGGCCGAUUCUGACGGGUCCGAAUCCGAGCCCGACGGGUCGGGGUCAGGGUCCGAGUCCGAGUCCGACUGGUCCGAACACCACGCUUUCCUGUUCGACCCUUUUUUUUGGAUGAAUGGUGUAUAAAAAAUGAGGAAGAAUUGGAGAAAUAUUAUGAUGUGGUGUUUAAUUUGGAGAAGACGAGAGGCCGUUUUUUUAACUGUCUUGAAGACUUGAAGACUGAUGGCUUUUUCUACAGAUAUGUUAAGAACAGGGUGAAUACUGCUAUUAUUCACUAUAACAAGAAAAAUCAAACUGGCUUUAGAGCAGGCAAGAUUUUGAAUUGCGUUCUCACUACAGCUGGGGGCGCCAAGUUCUAUUUGACCUUUGUGGCCAAGGAUUUCAAUACUGGUGAUGUGGGGGAAUUCCAAGCGUGUGUGCAUGAAUCUGCUGCUGGGGGUGAUAGGAAAGUCUACCUUUGCAGGCUUAAAAUUCCUAAGGAACCAUGCGAGGGUGAUGGCAAAUGCAUUUGAAGGAGGAGGAAUUUCAUGAUUGACUUGGGAAUUGAGUGGAUGCCACUGUGUGUGGAGAUUUGAAUCUUUGCUGAAAUCACUUGGGAAUAUUGUCUUAGAUGCUGAAAUUACUUUGUUGCUGGCUGCUGACUUGGUUUUUGUUGGUGUGGUCGUUGACUCAAAACACUUUGUUGAUGAUUUGGUCUUUUUGUUUUAUGUCUGCGUUUGAGUUUAUUGGGAUGGUCGUCUACCAUGUGGUUGCUGAGUUUUAUUUGUAUUAAAUGAGAUUGUUAAUUGUGUAAUUAAAGAAGGUAUGGAAGCUUACUAUCUGGGAACUCGAGACUCGCUACUAGGCGAAACCUCCUUAAGGCUGAUAGCGGAAGUGGGUCCAACGGCAACCUCUUGUAAUCCCUCAUCAGCCUCUUAGUUGUCCGACAUUGAUGGGGCUAGGGAUUGGUUGGACAGAGUCCUGGGAGUGGAUGAUGGUGUGUAGCUUAUAAAUUGAACCCUGUUUUAGGUUGAAAAUUUUGUUUGACUA